Molecule: ribosomal RNA, 492 nt
Filed under: uncultured bacterium
Lineage: Bacteria
Description: partial 16S ribosomal RNA
Rfam family: Bacterial small subunit ribosomal RNA
Source: RNAcentral
AGUGAACGCUGGCGGUAGGCCCAACACAUGCAAGUCGAACGGCAGCACAGUAAGAGCUUGCUCUUACGGGUGGCGAGUGGCGGACGGGUGAGGAAUACAUCGGAAUCUACUUUUUCGUGGGGGAUAACGUAGGGAAACUUACGCUAAUACCGCAUACGACCUACGGGUGAAAGCAGGGGAUCUUCGGACCUUGCGCGAUUGAAUGAGCCGAUGUCGGAUUAGCUAGUUGGCGGGGUAAAGGCCCACCAAGGCGACGAUCCGUAGCUGGUCUGAGAGGAUGAUCAGCCACACUGGAACUGAGACACGGUCCAGACUCCUACGGGAGGCAGCAGUGGGGAAUAUUGGACAAUGGGCGCAAGCCUGAUCCAGCCAUACCGCGUGGGUGAAGAAGGCCUUCGGGUUGUAAUGCCCUUUUGUUGGGAAAGAAAAGCAGCAGGUUAAUACCCCGCUGUUCUGACGGUACCCAAAGAAUAAGCACCGGCUAACUUCGUG